RNAcentral lists this long non-coding RNA (643 nucleotides) under Helianthus annuus (common sunflower). RNAcentral's name for it is "sRNA HanXRQr2_Chr16g0767191". Lineage: Eukaryota; Viridiplantae; Streptophyta; Magnoliopsida; Asterales; Asteraceae. The record is from RNAcentral.
GUUCACAUCAAAAACCACCAAUUGAAGGAUCAAAUCGAGUCCAAAACGAAAACCGAGCAUAUAUUCGUGAUCCCCAUUGAAAGGAGAUCAUAAGUUUGUCGCCUAACGAGCUAGGUGGAGGCUUGAAAAAGAAGCGGUCAAACGAAUCAAGCACGAGAAGAAAACGUAUUCGGAUGCGAGGUAAGUAGAGCUUACGCCCCUUUACAUUAUUUGCAAAGUUACUUAAUUUCAAGUAAUGAUAUGAAUGCUACUAAGUGGUUGGUAUAUGAUAUUCCGACGCGAUUCAAUGAGAGUUGGAAUGAGGGGAAAUGGUAAAUUAGUCAUGUAAUGACGAAUAAUUAAAAACGGUUUUAAGUAAAACAAGUUCAAAGAAAACCGGGAUAGGUAAAAGGGGUGAAAUGGUAAUUAAAUACCAUCUCAACACGGACAAAUGGUCAAUUAGACUAAAUGGGUCAAAUGGUGUGGAUAACACCAUUUGGCAAUAACAAUUGACAAUCGCUUGUUGAGUUUUGUGAUUUCAGGAAAUAACAUGUGUUGCGUUGCUUUAAUUAGAAAAUUUAAAGCAAGAAGUAUGUAAACGGGUCAAUACUAUGAUCCGAGCCAGGUGAAGAUGGGAUAAGCGGUUUGAAAGAUACGAAAGUUU